GAGCAGUGGUUCUCAACCUCUCAAUUUGUAGCAAUGAGAAUACAUAAUGCAUAUCAAGUAUUUACAUUCUGAAUCAUAACUGUAGCAAAAUUACAGUUUUGAAGUAGCCACCAAAAUAAUUUUUUGGUUUGGGGUCACUGCAACAUGAGGAACUGUAGUGCGGGGGUCAUGGCAUUAGAAAGGUUGAGAACCACUAGCUUAGAUUCUCCAUCCCCAAUCAUAUCCCCAUGGACCCAUGUGAUCAAGCAGUUGUUUUUCUUCUGUGUUUCUACUCCCACAGUUCAGAAGAUACAUUUCUAUCUGCUAUGAUGUUACACCCUAAAGACCACCAGGACCUUUCUGUCUCACAUGCAGCUGAACGUUCCCUUUGUGUUGUCUCUCCCAUUAGAAGAUUUCAGUCUCAUGUGCUCUGGCCCAUGGGCAAGCUUGGUUUUGCUGCAGGGAAGGGCAGACUGACCAGCAGAAGCAGUGCCCAUUCAGCAUUUGGGACUUCUCUGUUAAAAAAAAAAUUGAAAGUCUGGAGUGAUCAAAGCCUGGGGCAGUGAAAUAUAAAAGUGAAGGUCCUUCUGGAGAAAACCUUUAUUUAAAAAAGGGGGGGGGGCAGCUGGGUGGCUCAGUGGAUGGAGAGCCAGGUCUAGAGACAGGAGGUCCUGGGUUCAAAUCUGAUCUCAGACACUUCCCAGCUGUGUGACCCUGGGCAAGUCACUUAAACCCCAUUGCCUAGCCCUUACCACUCUUCUGCCUUGGAGCCAAUACACAGUAUUGAC
RNAcentral lists this long non-coding RNA (767 nucleotides) under Monodelphis domestica (gray short-tailed opossum). RNAcentral describes it as "lncRNA (ENSMODG00000037923.1)". Lineage: Eukaryota; Metazoa; Chordata; Mammalia; Didelphimorphia; Didelphidae. The record is from RNAcentral.